RNAcentral lists this ribosomal RNA (406 nucleotides) under uncultured bacterium. RNAcentral's name for it is "partial 16S ribosomal RNA". It matches the Rfam family "Bacterial small subunit ribosomal RNA", at positions 30 to 526 of the family's 1533-position model. The record is from RNAcentral.
AUUGAACGCUGGCGGCAGGCCUAACACAUGCAAGUCGAACGAGUGGCGGACGGGUGAGUAAUGUCUGGGACACUGCCCGAUGGAGGGGGAAAACUACUGGAAACGGUAGCUAAUCCCGCAUACCAUCGGAUGUGCCGAGAUGGGAUUAGCUAGUAGGUGGGGUAACGGCUCACCUAGGCGACGAUCCCUAGCUGGUCUGAGAGGAUGACCAGCCACACUGGAACUGAGACACGGUCCAGACUCCUACGGGAGGAAGCAGUGGGGAAUAUGGCACAAUGGGCGCAAGCCUGAUGCAGCCAUGCCGCGUGUAUGAAGAAGGCCUUCGGGUUGUAAAGUACUUUCAGCGGGGAGGCGUUACCCGCAGAAGAAGCACCGGCUAACUCCGUGCCAGCAGCCGCGGUAAUAC